AUUGAACGCUGGCGGAAUGCUUUACACAUGCAAGUCGAACGGCAGCACGGACUUCGGUCUGGUGGCGAGUGGCGAACGGGUGAGUAAUGUAUCGGAACGUGCCCAGUCGUGGGGGAUAACGUAGUGAAAAUUACGCUAAUACCGCAUACGAUCUAUGGAUGAAAGCGGGGGAUCGCAAGACCUCGCGCGAUUGGAGCGGCCGAUGUCAGAUUAGGUAGUUGGUGGGGUAAAGGCCCACCAAGCCAACGAUCUGUAGCUGGUCUGAGAGGACGACCAGCCACACUGGAACUGAGACACGGUCCAGACUACUACGGGAGGCAGCAGUGGGGAAUUUUGGACAAUGGGCGCAAGCCUGAUCCAGCCAUUCCGCGUGCAGGAUGAAGGCCCUCGGGUUGUAAACUGCUUUUGUACAGAACGAAAAGGUUUCUACUAAUACUAGGAGCUCAUGACGGUACUGUAAGAAUAAGCACCGGCUAACUACGUGCCAGCAGCCGCCGUAA
This 500-nucleotide ribosomal RNA is filed under the name uncultured bacterium. Its description in RNAcentral is "partial 16S ribosomal RNA". It matches the Rfam family "Bacterial small subunit ribosomal RNA", at positions 30 to 523 of the family's 1533-position model. The record is from RNAcentral.